CCCGGCUCUGGCAGGCGGUCACCCGCUGGUGGAGCGGCUACUGACCGCUCGUCGCACCGCCCGGACACGGCGGCCCCGGAUCACGCCCACGGGCCCGGGGCC
This 102-nucleotide transfer RNA is filed under the name Streptomyces griseus. RNAcentral describes it as "tRNA-Ser". Lineage: Bacteria; Bacillati; Actinomycetota; Actinomycetes; Kitasatosporales; Streptomycetaceae. The record is from RNAcentral.